Molecule: ribosomal RNA, 403 nt
Filed under: uncultured prokaryote
Also listed under: 1 other name
Description: bacterial SSU rRNA
Rfam family: Bacterial small subunit ribosomal RNA
Source: RNAcentral
UGGGGAAUAUUGCGCAAUGGGGGCAACCCUGACGCAGCAACGCCGCGUGCGGGACGAAGGCAUUCGUGUCGUAAACCGCUUUCAGCAGGGAAGACAUCGACGGUACCUGCAGAAGAAGCCCCGGCUAACUACGUGCCAGCAGCCGCGGUAACACGUAGGGGGCGAGCGUUAUCCGGAUUCAUUGGGCGUAAAGCGCGCGCAGGCGGCCGCCUAAGCGGGACCUCUAAUCCCGGGGCUCAACCCCGGGCCGGGUCCCGGACUGGGCGGCUCGCGUCCGGUAGGGGGAGGCGGAAUACCCGGUGUAGCGGUGGAAUGCGCAGAUAUCGGGUAGAACACCGAUGGCGAAGGCAGCCUCCUGGGCCGCGACGGACGCUGAGGCGCGAAAGCUAGGGGAGCGAACAGG